GCCCGGUAGCUAAAUGCGGAAGAGAUAAGUGCUGAAAGCAUCUAAGCACGAAACUUGCCCCGAGAUGAGUUCUCCCUGACUCCUUGAGAGUCCUGAAGGAACGUUGAAGACGACGACGUUGAUAGGCCGGGUGUGUAAGCGCAGCGAUGCGUUGAGCUAACCGGUACUAAUGAACCGUGAGGCUUAACCUUACAACGCCGAAGCUGUU
Molecule: ribosomal RNA, 208 nt
Filed under: Escherichia coli
Lineage: Bacteria; Pseudomonadati; Pseudomonadota; Gammaproteobacteria; Enterobacterales; Enterobacteriaceae
Description: partial 23S ribosomal RNA
Rfam family: Bacterial large subunit ribosomal RNA
Source: RNAcentral